RNAcentral lists this ribosomal RNA (279 nucleotides) under uncultured bacterium. RNAcentral describes it as "partial 16S ribosomal RNA". It matches the Rfam family "Bacterial small subunit ribosomal RNA", at positions 506 to 784 of the family's 1533-position model. The record is from RNAcentral.
UGCCAGCCGCCGCGGUAAGACGGAAGGGGCAAGCGUUAUCCGGAAUUACUGGGCGUAAAGCGUCCGCAGGUUGUCUAUUAAGCAAAAUAUUAAAUACCGGUGCUCAACAUCGGUGCUGUAUUCUGAACUGGUAGACUAGAGGAAUGGAGAGGUGUGUAGAAUUGUGCAAGUAGGGGUUAAAUCCGUAGAUAUGCAUAGGAAUACCAAAAGCGAAGGCAGCACACUGGACAUUUCCUGACACUCAGGGACGAAAGCGUGGGGAGCGAAACGGAUUAGAUA